Molecule: ribosomal RNA, 497 nt
Filed under: uncultured bacterium
Lineage: Bacteria
Description: partial 16S ribosomal RNA
Rfam family: Bacterial small subunit ribosomal RNA
Source: RNAcentral
GACGAACGCUGGCGGCGUGCCUAAUACAUGCAAGUUGAGCGCUGAAGGUUGGUACUUGUACCGACUGGAUGAGCAGCGAACGGGUGAGUAACGCGUGGGGAAUCUGCCUUUGAGCGGGGGACAACAUUUGGAAACGAAUGCUAAUACCGCAUAAAAACUUUAAACACAAGUUUUAAGUUUGAAAGAUGCAAUUGCAUCACUCAAAGAUGAUCCCGCGUUGUAUUAGCUAGUUGGUGAGGUAAAGGCUCACCAAGGCGAUGAUACGUAGCCGACCUGAGAGGGUGUGCGGCAACAUGGGGACGGGACCCGGGCCCAACUCCCUGGGGGCGGCACCAGGAGGGAAUCUUGGGGAAGGGAAGAAAGUCUGACCGAGCAGCGCGGGGGGAGUGAAGAGGGUUUUCGGUUCGUAAAACUCUGUGGGUAGAGAAGACCGUGGGGGGGAGUGAAAAGCUCAUCAAGUGACGGUACCUACCAAGAAGGGGACGGCUAACUACGUG